AUGGUGGGCACGUGCAACGGCCUGCUCUGCUUCCUCGACCUCCGCCAGGGGGGCAUCAGGGUGGUAGAGCCCUUCACCGGCGAAUCGCUUGUCCUGCCGUCGCCGCAGAGGCGGCUGUGGCACGCUCGUGGCGCCUACAGCUUUGGCUUCGACCCCAGUUCGAGGAGGUACAAGAUUUUGCACCACGAGAAAGAUGCUUACAUGUACACGAUCGGGGGAGGCGAGAAUUGGAGGAGAGCGCAUGGGGCCACCGUGUCGUACAGCGGCGUAUUCGCUGACGGAUCAGUCUGGUCAGUUGCUACGAAUCGGCGGCAGCUCAGAAAGGUCGUACGCUUCGAUCUGGCGACGGAGAAGAUCACCUCGGAGCCCAUCGAAUGGGCUGGCUUGGGUACAGCUCUGUCAACGGUGUCGGACGCGCGGGUGUUCUUGAUGGGCUUAGGGGGGGCCGGGGAGAUGGAGGUGUUCUCCAUGGGAGACGGCGGCCGCUGGGCGCGAUAUAGCAUCUUCGUGAGGGCGCCUCCCAUGCGGUUUCCCGCGGUGCCGGAUCCCCUGCAACGGGGGCACGUGCUGCUGCUGGACCGUAACAGGGGUUCACGCGGUGGCGUGUACGUUCAUCCGAUUGCACCGGGGAGCAAUGAUCUGGGCUCCGGGAAGCUGCUACUUCAGAUGCCGAAGGACCGGCCGCAAGCUGACGAGACACCCAGAUGCGAUAAUACGCGAUGGCUGUUUGUACCGGUCCCGCAUGAGGAGGAGACGGCGGCCAGAGUAAGACGAGUCCCACAUGAACAGGGCUCUCCAAGGGUGUUCUCCUACGCCCCACCAGUGUCUAUUUUCAAGAAAGCAAAAAAUGCCCCAGAGCUACUUUGA
This 867-nucleotide ribosomal RNA is filed under the name Triticum aestivum (bread wheat). RNAcentral describes it as "partial small subunit ribosomal RNA". Lineage: Eukaryota; Viridiplantae; Streptophyta; Magnoliopsida; Poales; Poaceae. The record is from RNAcentral.